Molecule: transfer RNA, 79 nt
Filed under: Candidatus Babelota bacterium
Lineage: Bacteria
Description: Candidatus Dependentiae bacterium tRNA-Arg
Rfam family: tRNA
About the family: Transfer RNA (tRNA) molecules are approximately 80 nucleotides in length. Their secondary structure includes four short double-helical elements and three loops (D, anti-codon, and T loops).
Source: RNAcentral
ACCCAUGUAGCUCAAUUGGAACAAGAGCCACUCCGUUCUAAGGAGAGGGUUGCAGGUUCGACUCCUGCCAUGGGUACCA